Molecule: ribosomal RNA, 455 nt
Filed under: Staphylococcus aureus
Lineage: Bacteria; Bacillati; Bacillota; Bacilli; Caryophanales; Staphylococcaceae
Description: partial 23S ribosomal RNA
Rfam family: Bacterial large subunit ribosomal RNA
Source: RNAcentral
CCGGGGAUAACAGGCUUAUCUCCCCCAAGAGUUCACAUCGACGGGGAGGUUUGGCACCUCGAUGUCGGCUCAUCGCAUCCUGGGGCUGUAGUCGGUCCCAAGGGUUGGGCUGUUCGCCCAUUAAAGCGGUACGCGAGCUGGGUUCAGAACGUCGUGAGACAGUUCGGUCCCUAUCCGUCGUGGGCGUAGGAAAUUUGAGAGGAGCUGUCCUUAGUACGAGAGGACCGGGAUGGACAUACCUCUGGUGUACCAGUUGUCGUGCCAACGGCAUAGCUGGGUAGCUAUGUGUGGACGGGAUAAGUGCUGAAAGCAUCUAAGCAUGAAGCCCCCCUCAAGAUGAGAUUUCCCAACUUCGGUUAUAAGAUCCCUCAAAGAUGAUGAGGUUAAUAGGUUCGAGGUGGAAGCAUGGUGACAUGUGGAGCUGACGAAUACUAAUCGAUCGAAGACUUAAUCAA